This is a long non-coding RNA of Oncorhynchus tshawytscha (Chinook salmon), 385 nucleotides long. The record is from Ensembl. NCBI's taxonomy places the organism in Eukaryota, Metazoa, Chordata, Actinopteri, Salmoniformes, Salmonidae.
GUGUGCAGCCUAGUGUGUUAGUGUGCAGCCUAGUGUGUUAGUGUGCAGCUUAGUGUGUUAGUAUGCAGCCUAGUGUGUUAGUGUGCAGCCUAGUUUGUUAGUGUGCAGCCUAGUGUUUUCGUUUGCAGCCUAGUGUUUUAGUGUGCAGCCUAGUGUGUUAGUGUGUUAGUGUGCAGCCUAGUGUGUUAGUGUGCAGCCUAGUGUGUUUGUGUGCAGCCUAGUGUGUUAGUGUGUUAGUGUGCAGCCUAGUGUGUUAGUGUGUUUGUGUGCAGCCUAGUGUGUUAGUGUGUUAGUGUGCAGCGUAGUGUCCUAGUGUGUUAGUGUGCAGCCUAGUGUGUUAGUGUGCAGCCUAGUGUGUCAGUGUGCAGCCUAGUGUGUUAGUGUG